GAGUUUGAUCGUGGCUCAGGAUGAACGCUGGCGGCGUGCCUAAUACAUGCAAGUCGAGCGAACGGACGAGAAGCUUGCUUCUCUGAUGUUAGCGGCGGACGGGUGAGUAACACGUGGAUAACCUACCUAUAAGACUGGGAUAACUUCGGGAAACCGGAGCUAAUACCGGAUAAUAUUUUGAACCGCAUGGUUCAAAAGUAAAAGACGGUCUUGCUGUCACUUAUAGAUGGAUCCGCGCUGCAUUAGCUAGUUGGUAAGGUAACGGCUUACCAAGGCAACGAUGCAUAGCCGACCUGAGAGGGUGAUCGGCCACACUGGAACUGAGACACGGUCCAGACUCCUACGGGAGGCAGCAGUAGGGAAUCUUCCGCAAUGGGCGAAAGCCUGACGGAGCAACGCCGCGUGAGUGAUGAAGGUCUUCGGAUCGUAAAACUCUGUUAUUAGGGUAAGAACAUAUGUGUAAGUAACUGUGCACAUCUUGACGGUACCUAAUCAGAAAGCCACGGCUAACUACGUG
This 517-nucleotide ribosomal RNA is filed under the name uncultured microorganism. RNAcentral describes it as "bacterial SSU rRNA". It matches the Rfam family "Bacterial small subunit ribosomal RNA", at positions 9 to 507 of the family's 1533-position model. The record is from RNAcentral.